This 588-nucleotide ribosomal RNA is filed under the name uncultured bacterium. RNAcentral's name for it is "bacterial SSU rRNA". It matches the Rfam family "Bacterial small subunit ribosomal RNA", at positions 338 to 916 of the family's 1533-position model. The record is from RNAcentral.
CCUACGGGAGGCAGCAGUGGGGAAUAUUGGACAAUGGGGGCAACCCUGAUCCAGCAAUGCCGCGUGUGUGAGGAAGGCCUGAGGGUUGUAAAGCACUUUCAGUGGGGAGGAGGAUACUUAGGUUAAGAGCUAGAGUAUUGGACGUUACCCACAGAAGAAGCACCGGCUAACUCCGUGCCAGCAGCCGCGGUAAUACGGAGGGUGCGAGCGUUAAUCGGAAUUACUGGGCGUAAAGGGUGCGUAGGUGGUUGAUUAAGUUAUCUGUGAAAUCCCCGGGCUCAACCUGGGCAGGUCAGAUAAUACUGAUUGACUCGAGUAUAGGAGAGGGUAGUGGAAUUUCCGGUGUAGCGGUGAAAUGCGUAGAGAUCGGAAGGAACACCAGUGGCGAAGGCGGCUACCUGGCCUAAUACUGACACUGAGGCACGAAAGCGUGGGGAGCAAACAGGAUUAGAUACCCUGGUAGUCCACGCUGUAAACGAUGUCAACUAGCUGUUGGUUAUAUGAAUAUAAUUAGUGGCGCAGCAAACGCGAUAAGUUGACCGCCUGGGGAGUACGGUCGCAAGAUUAAAACUCAAAUGAAAUUGACGG